Small nuclear RNA from Pteronotus mesoamericanus, 107 nucleotides. The record is from RefSeq and is a predicted model, not a curated record. Lineage: Eukaryota; Metazoa; Chordata; Mammalia; Chiroptera; Mormoopidae.
AUGCUUAACUGGGCAGCACAUAUACUAAAAUUGAAACCAUAUAGAGAAGAUUAGCAUGGACCCUGCACAAGGAUGACAUGCAAAUUUGUGAAGCAUUUCAUAUUUUU